Molecule: RNA transcript, 3104 nt
Organism: Caretta caretta (loggerhead turtle)
Lineage: Eukaryota; Metazoa; Chordata; Testudines; Cheloniidae
Gene: MAP6D1
Gene name: MAP6 domain containing 1
Source: RefSeq, a predicted model, not a curated record
CUGUCAUCCCCAGCCUGGGGGUGGGGGCACUCACGGGGGCGGGAAGGGGCGGCGCUGACAGUACCCGCCGGGGUCCGCGUCUCCCCGGCCGGCUGGGAGCGCACCGCAGCGGGCGAGCCCUGCCCGCCCCCGCCGCCGCCCAGCCCGCUCCAUGGCGUGGCCCUGCAUCAGCCGCGUGUGCUGCCUGGCCCGCUUCUGGAGCCAGCUGGACAAGUCCGACCUCUCGGUGCCGCUCACCAUCCACAGCUACUCCGACAUCGAGGAGCCCGAGGAGGCGCCGAGCCCGGCGCGGGGCGGCCCCCGGCGGGGCGCGGCGGCGGAGGGCCGCCCCCGGGCAGGCGGCGGAGAGCCGCCGGCCGGGCCCCCCCCCUCGCAGGACAGCCUGGCCGUCAAGCGGUCGUGGAAGGGGGGGAGCCACAAGCGGGGCCCGGCGGCGCCCCCCGGCAGCCAGCCCUUCGCCGCCGAGACCCAGUACCGGCAGGACUUCCGAGCCUGGCCCCUGCAGCCGCGAGACGCCUGCCCCUGGGCCGGCGAGGGCAGGAGAGACGGGCCCCCCGCCCCGGCCAGGUCCGUGUACGUCCUGCCCGCCGGGGACAGGGACCCGCGGCCGGAGGCCAGCAGCCGGCUGGGCGGCUUCCCGCAGGGCGCUGCCAACACCACCUCCUACAGGAGCUGGACUGGCAUUCUAUCCAGAAGAGGGCAGCGUUUAAGAUGCUAUCCAGAAUUCCAGCAUAUUAUAGGCAGGAGUAUCGUCCAUGGACCGGAGCCAAACCGUCGAAGCCCAUAAAGACAAAGCAAGGCUUCAUUAUUCCAGAAGAUCAUUUUGUGCAAGAGACUAGCUACAGGGCAGAUUUUAAGAUUCCAGAAGCGAAGACCAAGUUUUCCCGCAACCCUUCUGCGGUUUUCCAGGCUCCCUCUCGUAUCCUCAACGUGUGAACCUGGAUCUGGUUCACGUCCAGGCAGCUUAAAUGUGGGUUGUUUGUAAAAAUGUCCUGCUAUGCAACUUUCAUGCAGGGUGUUAAGAUCAAAGAAACAAUAUUAUCAAAAGCAGCUACAGUGAGUAAUGAUAUAUACAUAAUAUCUGUGAAUACACAAAUCACGAAGCACUUGAUUUGGAACUGGCAAAACAGACUGCAAGGGAUGACCUAGUUUUUGUAGAAACAGGCUCAUUACUAUGCCAGCUGGUAUCACAUUAGGAGAUUGACUUUGGGCAGCAAAGACAGCAUUGCAGACAAUGCCCCUACAGUUAGCUGCAUUUGUGGGGGGGAAAAAUCACAAAUGGAAAUUAUAACUAAAACCAAAACCAGUGCUAUUUAACAGACCCGUCUACAGUAGGUCAGUGAAAGAGAUGGUGAAUGAUCCAAGCUGACUUUUGAACUUGUUUUUAUUUUUUUGAAGUUUGAAAUAAACAAGAAAGCAUCUCACACAUACAUGGAAAUACUACACCAAAUAGUAUAACUUCCGUGGCUGGCAUGGAUUUCAGUGGUGUUUUAGAAGUUUUUUGGCAUGAUAAUACGCUGAAAAAAAAAAUCAGACAAAAAGUCACUAGGGCUUCGUGGCUGAAAGCUGAAUAUUUCAAAGUUGGAAAGCCACCUUAGGUGUAGUUUGAAUUUCUAAAGAACAAACAAUAGCAUGAGAGAGAAUCAAGAAAGUCCUGAAAAACAAUGCCUCAACUUGGCUCUUGUCUGACAGCAAACUCAUUAGGUCAGCUCAGAUAACUACUGUGGAUUGUAUGGGCCAGAAUCUAAAAUAUUUAUGGAUGUAAUUUGUAAUGGUCAUGCUUAAGGUAUAUGUAUAUAGUGUACAUGGAUUUUGCAUAAUGGAAUCUGAAGAUUCUUUAAUAAAGGGAUAUGCUUAAACUUUUAUUAAAUACUAUUUGCUUAUGCAAGAUGGAAAAUAUAUUGCCUUGAAACUACUGAAUUAUUGCCUGUAUAUUGGUAAUGCUAGUGCUAAAAAUAACCAGAGAUGAAUGUUAUAUGGAUACGCUAUUUUAAAAAAAAGCAGAAUGUAGAAUGUAAUUCACACCUUCAUUUUUAAAAAUGGACCAUUUUAAAUUUAAUUAUUCUAAAGAUUACCUUUUUUUUUAAAAGAUAACUGAUGUGGAAUUAACUUUUACUCAUUCUGUUUUAAUAACCCUUUCCUAGUGCUCGUUCAUCUAGAUUGUGAUAAGCUUAGAGUUUUUAUCUAAAGGGUUUAUGCAAUAUAGUUAAUCUAUUUCUAAUUUAACAUUUUUCCUAAUUUUCUUUCAAAAAUGUCAUAUAGAAAAAAGUUAUAGUUUGUGUGUUAGAAAUUUGUCUAUUAGAAUGAAAGGAAAUGUUACCCUCAGACUUGACCAGUAAUCAGUUAUUCAUUCAUCUGCAACGAAACUGACUUUGAUAAAAUGGGAAGUUACAGAAAUUUUCUCUCAACAUUUUCCCAGCUCAAGUCAAAGGCUGGUUUAGUGAUCCUUUGGACUAUACAAACACAGUCACAUUGCCAAUCAUCUCCAUAAGAACGACUCUUGAACUGGAGGCUGGUGGACUAUAUUUGAAAUGUAUCUAGAACGUACAUUGCAUUAGAUAGGAAUUUAAUGGAGCCGGUUCCAUUAAAGCUGGUACGAUUGAGCCACUAAGACUCAACCGUGAGUAAAGAUAAUAUGCCCAUUAAUGUCAGUUUCUUUGGGAUGGGGGAUGAAAUUUCUUGCACUCUUCAGAUUUUAUGUUGGGACUUAUUGCCAGAUGAAUCUGCAGUAUUUAACAUCAGUACUUGCAGAAAAAAAAAUGUAUCUAUCUCAUUUUGGGGUGGGGGGGGGAAUCAUAAUUUUUUCUGGAAACUGACUGAAAUAUUCAAACUGCACUAAAUGUUUUGCAUGUUAAAUGUUUCUAAGAAAAAAAAUGUAUAGUCUGCUUGAUUAAUCUGUUUAUAAAGUUUUUAACAGUUCAGUUAAUUUCACUCUUGGAUUUUACUAUUAGCAAAAAAACCCCAACACAUACUGCCUACUCAGUUUGUUUUCUUAAUUUACUAUAUUUCUACAAAACAGUUGUAAACAAACUGGUAAUACAUGAAGCUUGUAUUUUAUCAAAUGGACUGAAAGUUAAUUUAAUAAAAUGUAUUUUGGCUACUGG